GCGGCGGUAGCUCAGUGGAUAGAGCAUCAGUCUUCGGAACUGAGGGUCGGGGGUUCGAGUCCCUCCCGCCGCG
This 73-nucleotide transfer RNA is filed under the name Chloroflexota bacterium. RNAcentral describes it as "Chloroflexi bacterium (bioreactor metagenome) tRNA-Arg". It matches the Rfam family "tRNA". From Rfam's summary of the family: Transfer RNA (tRNA) molecules are approximately 80 nucleotides in length. RNAcentral also lists the same sequence under 1 other name. The record is from RNAcentral. Lineage: Bacteria; Bacillati; Chloroflexota.